AAUAAACCAAUUUUUCAUCUUUUACCUUUAAUUUUUGACUAUUCGUCUUAUUAAAAAAAUUUACGAUUGAUAUUUUUGUUUUUAUUAGAUGAUAAAUCAUGAAUAGUACUUUACGUAUGACUAAUUUUUUUUUAAUUUCUUGAAAAUUUUUCAAAUAAGACGGAUGGUCAAACGUUGGACACGGAAACCGAAGAAUUCAUUUUUU
Molecule: microRNA precursor, 205 nt
Filed under: Oryza brachyantha (malo sina)
Lineage: Eukaryota; Viridiplantae; Streptophyta; Magnoliopsida; Poales; Poaceae
Description: MIR812 microRNA precursor family
Rfam family: MIR812 microRNA precursor family
Source: Rfam by way of RNAcentral